Molecule: non-coding RNA, 124 nt
Organism: Onthophagus taurus
Lineage: Eukaryota; Metazoa; Arthropoda; Insecta; Coleoptera; Scarabaeidae
Source: RefSeq, a predicted model, not a curated record
UAUUAAAUAUUUUUUUAUUGUUACAGGUCAGAUACUUUAUACAAAACGGAAAAAGGAAUUUCAGGUUCAUAUUCUUCUUGUCUUCAAACACCGAUUUAAUGGUGAUAAUGGAGGGCUUCGAUGG